AUUUGACUUUAUCUACGAUCUUUUUGAACAUGUUUCAAGCCGCAACAACCAGGAUACCUUGAAAUGUGGAAGCAAACAUCGGCGGCCUACAGUCAGCUCACAGUUCAAGGACUCACUGCAUUCCUUAAUGGCAACGCUAAGCUCCUCUAAUCCUUUCUUUGUUCGCUGUAUCAAGCCAAACAUGCAGAAGAUGCCAGACCAGUUUGACCAGGCGGUUGUGCUGAACCAGCUGCGGUACUCAGGGAUGCUGGAGACUGUGAGAAUCCGCAAAGCUGGGUAUGCGGUCCGAAGACCCUUUCAGGACUUUUACAAAAGGUAUAAAGUGCUGAUGAGGAAUCUGGCUCUGCCCGAGGACGUCCGAGGGAAGUGCACGAGCCUGCUGCAGCUCUAUGAUGCCUCCAACAGCGAGUGGCAGCUGGGGAAGACCAAGGUCUUUCUUCGAGAAUCCUUGGAACAGAAACUGGAGAAGCGGAGGGAAGAGGAAGUGAGCCACGCGGCCAUGGUGAUUCGGGCCCACGUCUUGGGCUUCUUAGCACG
This 537-nucleotide small RNA is filed under the name Pan troglodytes (chimpanzee). RNAcentral's name for it is "processed transcript". The record is from RNAcentral. Lineage: Eukaryota; Metazoa; Chordata; Mammalia; Primates; Hominidae.